This 76-nucleotide transfer RNA is filed under the name Aestuariivirgaceae bacterium. RNAcentral's name for it is "tRNA-Trp". It matches the Rfam family "tRNA". From Rfam's summary of the family: Transfer RNA (tRNA) molecules are approximately 80 nucleotides in length. Their secondary structure includes four short double-helical elements and three loops (D, anti-codon, and T loops). The record is from RNAcentral. Lineage: Bacteria; Pseudomonadati; Pseudomonadota; Alphaproteobacteria; Hyphomicrobiales; Aestuariivirgaceae.
AGGGGUUUAGCUCAGUUGGUAGAGCGGCGGUCUCCAAAACCGCAGGUCGUGGGUUCGAGCCCCCCAGCCCCUGCCA